Molecule: ribosomal RNA, 162 nt
Filed under: Aegilops tauschii subsp. strangulata
Lineage: Eukaryota; Viridiplantae; Streptophyta; Magnoliopsida; Poales; Poaceae
Description: rRNA SSU_rRNA_eukarya
Rfam family: Bacterial small subunit ribosomal RNA
Source: RNAcentral
GGUGGUGCAUGGUUGUCGUCAGCUCAUGCCGUAAGGUGUUGGGUUAAGUCUCGCAACGAGCGCAACCCCCGUGUUUAGUUGCCACUAUGAGUUUGGAACCCUGAACAGACCACCGGUGUUAAGCCGGAGGAAGGAGAGGAUGAGGCGAAGUCAUCAUGCCCC